RNAcentral lists this ribosomal RNA (769 nucleotides) under uncultured Actinomycetes bacterium. RNAcentral's name for it is "bacterial SSU rRNA". It matches the Rfam family "Bacterial small subunit ribosomal RNA", at positions 8 to 795 of the family's 1533-position model. The record is from RNAcentral. Lineage: Bacteria; Bacillati; Actinomycetota; Actinomycetes.
AGAGUUUGAUUAUGGCUCAGGAUGAACGCUGGCGGCGUGCUUAACACAUGCAAGUCGAACGAGGUCCAACCUUCGGGUGAAGACCGAGUGGCGAACGGGCGAGUAACACGUGGGGAACCUGCCCUUCUCUCUGGGAUAACCUCGGGAAACCGAAGCUAAUACCGGAUACUCCUUGCGGACCGCAUGGUCUGCUCGGGAAAGCUCCGGCGGAGAAGGAUGGCCCCGCGGCCCAUUAGCUUGUUGGUGGGGUAACGGCCCACCAAGGCGACGAUGGGUAGCCGAGCUGAGAGGCUGAUCGGCCACACUGGGACUGAGACACGGCCCAGACUCCUACGGGAGGCAGCAGUGGGAAAUCUUGCGCAAUGGGCGAAAGCCUGACGCAGCAACGCCGCGUGCGGGAUGAAGGCUCUCGGGUCGUAAACCGCUUUCAGCAGGGAUGAAAAUGACAGUACCUGCAGAAGAAGCCCCGGCUAAAUACGUGCCAGCAGCCGCGGUAAUACGUAUGGGGCAAGCGUUAUCCGGAUUCAUUGGGCGUAAAGCGCGCGUAGGCGGCUUGUUAAGUCAGGCGUGAAAUCCGGGGGCUCAACCCGCGGCUUGCGUCUGAAACUGGCAGGCUUGAGUCUGGUAGAGGAAAGUGGAAUUCCUGGUGUAGCGGUGAAAUGCGCAGAUAUCAGGAGGAACACCAGUGGCGAAGGCGGCUUUCUGGGCCACGACUGACGCUGAGGCGCGAAAGCUAGGGGAGCGAACAGGAUUAGAUACCCUGGUAGUC